CAAAAAUGCACAUGCUGUGAGCUCGAUGAGUAGGGCGGGACACGUGGUAUCCUGUCUGAAUAUGGGGGGACCAUCCUCCAAGGCUAAAUACUCCUGACUGACCGAUAGUGAACCAGUACCGUGAGGGAAAGGCGAAAAGAACCCCGGCGAGGGGAGUGAAAAAGAACCUGAAACCGUGUACGUACAAGCAGUGGGAGCCUCUUUAUGGGGUGACUGCGUACCUUUUGUAUAAUGGGUCAGCGACUUAUAUUCUGUAGCAAGGUUAACCGAAUAGGGGAGCCGAAGGGAAACCGAGUCUUAACUGGGCGUUAAGUUGCAGGGUAUAGACCCGAAACCCGGUGAUCUAGCCAUGGGCAGGUUGAAGGUUGGGUAACACUAACUGGAGGACCGAACCGACUAAUGUUGAAAAAUUAGCGGAUGACUUGUGGCUGGGGGUGAAAGGCCAAUCAAACCGGGAGAUAGCUGGUUCUCCCCGAAAGCUAUUUAGGUAGCGCCUCGUGAAUUCAUCUCCGGGGGUAGAGCACUGUUUCGGCAAGGGGGUCAUCCCGACUUACCAACCCGAUGCAAACUGCGAAUACCGGAGAAUGUUAUCACGGGAGACACACGGCGGGUGCUAACGUCCGUCGUGAAGAGGGAAACAACCCAGACCGCCAGCUAAGGUCCCAAAGUCAUGGUUAAGUGGGAAACGAUGUGGGAAGGCCCAGACAGCCAGGAUGUUGGCUUAGAAGCAGCCAUCAUUUAAAGAAAGCGUAAUAGCUCACUGGUCGAGUCGGCCUGCGCGGAAGAUGUAACGGGGCUAAACCAUGCACCGAAGCUGCGGCAGCGACGCUUAUGCGUUGUUGGGUA
RNAcentral lists this ribosomal RNA (846 nucleotides) under Escherichia coli. Its description in RNAcentral is "partial 23S ribosomal RNA". It matches the Rfam family "Bacterial large subunit ribosomal RNA", at positions 380 to 1230 of the family's 2925-position model. Lineage: Bacteria; Pseudomonadati; Pseudomonadota; Gammaproteobacteria; Enterobacterales; Enterobacteriaceae. The record is from RNAcentral.